Molecule: regulatory RNA element, 147 nt
Organism: Paenibacillus dendritiformis C454
Lineage: Bacteria; Bacillati; Bacillota; Bacilli; Caryophanales; Paenibacillaceae
Rfam family: c-di-AMP riboswitch aptamer (ydaO/yuaA leader)
About the family: This family represents a conserved RNA structure found upstream of the ydaO and yuaA genes in Bacillus subtilis and related genes in other bacteria. The ydaO/yuaA element is thought to act as a genetic "off" switch for the ydaO and yuaA genes in its native state. It is believed that the element may be triggered during osmotic shock leading to activation of ydaO, a predicted amino acid transporter gene, and members of the yuaA-yubG operon which code for KtrA and KtrB K+ transporters.
Source: Rfam
AGACAAAGAAUGCCGAAUUUCCGGAUGCCCGGAAAGCGGGGGAACCAGUUUUUUGGGUGAAUUGAUCUCAUUCGCUACGAUCAGAGAUCAUAGGGGACCUUCAACCGAACCCUUCAGCUAACCUCGCAGGCAAGGAAGGGGCUUUAU